UCUCAGUCGAGUCCCUGUCUGUGCCAAUCCUAAAUCCCUCGGGAGCAGCAUGCUGUGGAAACCUAUGGGGGCCACAGCUGUCCCUGGGAGUUUUCGGGUAACCCACAUUCAACAUGUUCAAGGAGGCAGCGUGAUCAGGAAAGAAAUAUAAAGGAAAUGACCAACACACCAACUUCGUCCUCCGUACAUAAGCUGUAUCCAGCUGCAUUAGAGGACUCCCCAACCACCCAAAGAUUUGGUUUGCAUGCGGUGUGAGCAUCCAGAUUAUACAGACUGCUCUCAGUGUGGUGAAGAGUAUUGGGUUCAGCAUCCUCACAGCAAAAGGGUGGGCCCACUUUACCUCACGCUGGAAGACUGGCAUCAGGUGCCAUGCUCAUCAUGGUGUUCUCAUAUCAGAAGAUGGGUACCUGGUGUGGGGCUUGGCUUGCUCUCGGGUCAGGAUCAGGUGUUGCUGUUCUGCACUGCAGUUGAUACGAGUAGUGGCUCCCUGAAAGGAUCAUCAACCCAUGGCCAUGUUAUAUGCAGGGAAAUCGUAUUCCCAAAGAGGCAAAAUGUGGAACUCCACAAGGAAAGGACGAAUCUAAUGACAGAAGAAUAUUUUGUGGUCGUAUUUUCUGUCAAGACAGAGAAAUCAAUGGAAACUGCAGACUGGCUGUAAAAUGCUCUGGAACAACUGUUACAAAGAACCAAGAGAUCAAGGGAAGAAAACUGAGGAUACCAUAUAUUGCAAACCUUUUUUUUUUAAAGAUACGGAUGAAAUCUUUUUCAAGGACUAGAAUAAACCUGUCCCCUUAACAGUCAAUUUAUUUUAAUUAGUCCUCAAAUGGUCUUUCCUUCCCUUUCUUUUUCAGCUAUUAGUAUUAAUACUAUUCAGAAUGAAAUAAAGGCCUUUA
RNAcentral lists this long non-coding RNA (893 nucleotides) under Cavia porcellus (domestic guinea pig). RNAcentral's name for it is "lncRNA (ENSCPOG00000030397.1)". Lineage: Eukaryota; Metazoa; Chordata; Mammalia; Rodentia; Caviidae. The record is from RNAcentral.